CACGUGCAGUGAGGGCCUUUGUGUCUGCCUGGUUUCAAAUUCUGCUUCAAUUGUGCCAUUUUUUUUGUGUUUUACCAUGGCUAGGAGAUAAAUGAAGGGUGCUGACAUUCACGGUUUGAUGGAAGAAGAUGUUGUUAGUGAUUUUGAGUUGUCUGACAAUGAAAAUAUCUCUUCAAACAGCAGCGGGAGUGAAAUUUCUACAUCAACUCCGCCGAAACGAGACGCAGUUCACCUGAGCGCAUCAGUGAAACAAGUGACAGUGACCUUGGUGGCACAGUUGAAAUCAUUCACGGGGAGGUUGCUGAGGAGAGUAAUAUUCAGGCCCAACUCCAUUUUUGUUAUACAGAAACGCAAGGAUCAAAGUAUAUCCCAUCCGCACCUAUGACCCAAAAUCAAUAUUUUUAUCUGUUUUCCACCACAUCCCUGAACAUAAAUGUACCGGUGGUACAUAGUCCACUUAUGUUUUUUCACUUGUGCACAGUCAGUGAGAACGAGAACUGCAGUGUUUUACAAAUAUUGAUAUGAUGAAUAAACUAUUUGGUGUACAGUUUUCAAAUUUUAACCUCAUAUAUAAAAUGAAUGGAGCUAUCAGAAAACAACAACAGAUGGGACACAGUACUUCUACGAGAAGUUAAAGGAAACGAGUAUAUCCUGGUCGCUCGCUGAGUGCUCGCUGAGUGUCCCUGACGUCCCUGACUGUGUCUCUGGGUCGGCUGUGAUCACUGUGAUACCGAGGUUACGAACUGUGCACACAAGUACCACAAAUUCUUGCAUAGUAGCAGAAAUUCCAAGAAUUCAGCCACAGAGAGCUGAACAAACAUUUCCUGCUUUGACAGAAAGGAUGGUGAGUGUUGUGUGCACAGACAAGAAUUUUAUUGUCAUCAGUCAAUUCUCAUAUCUUAAGAAACUAAACUUUUUAUGCCAAGCUUGUGCUAGUUUUCAUAAUCAAUGUGGGGAGUUCAUUUGGUUCACAUUAUCACACUUUGCGUUACUAUGUGGCAGAGGGAUCAGUUCAAGGAGAGUGAUAUGGGUAUGUCAUGUGGCACACAUAUGAGAAAUGAGAAAUGCGUACAGAGAUUUUGACAGAAAGCCUGAGAGAAUGAGACAAUUGUGGAGAUGGAUUUCAAAGAUACAAUUAUGGGGGUUUUGGACUGGGUUUGUUUGUGUCAGGAUGCAAAGUUAUGAUGGGCAUGUGUGAACACUGAGUGCUUAGGUUCCAUAAAGAGCAGAUACGUAUUGACUGUACUUCCACAGGGACCACAGGUUUCUCAGGAAGGUCUCUGCAUUAUGAACUUAACACUUGCUAAGAUUAUGAAGUCUGUAGAGAAGAAAUC
Molecule: long non-coding RNA, 1334 nt
Organism: Cryptotermes secundus
Lineage: Eukaryota; Metazoa; Arthropoda; Insecta; Blattodea; Kalotermitidae
Exons: 3
Source: RefSeq, a predicted model, not a curated record